UCUGGUCCUGUGGUAACGCCUUCAAGUAGGCAAAUUUACUUAAAAUCUUUUGGAUUUGUGCAUGUCAGGGUUCUGGAAUUGAGAAUGCUUGGUUCCUCCAACUGGAAAACAGCAGACUCGACGUCCUGUCUUUACCCCAUGGAUUAUCAUAUUCAUCCUUACUGAAAAUCAGUUACAGAACUGGGAAGGCAGCUGCGAUGGCCAAAUUUUUCCUUUUAUGUGGCCUUUGUGAUCUUAUUAUCAGCAGUAGAUGCUCAGGAGGAAAGCAGUCAUCUGGUAUAUUGACAUUGAUUUUCUGCCUCAGAGAGCUUCAAUGAGAGAAGGCUCAGAACUGCACAAACAGAACGGGGUGAGCAAAUUACAGGCAUUUUUCUUGCACUUGGAAGAUGGAGGCCAGGUCUGUUUUGAU
Molecule: long non-coding RNA, 409 nt
Organism: Vidua chalybeata
Lineage: Eukaryota; Metazoa; Chordata; Aves; Passeriformes; Viduidae
Exons: 3
Source: RefSeq, a predicted model, not a curated record